RNAcentral lists this ribosomal RNA (356 nucleotides) under Pleurotus smithii. RNAcentral describes it as "partial small subunit ribosomal RNA". It matches the Rfam family "Bacterial small subunit ribosomal RNA", at positions 479 to 708 of the family's 1533-position model. Lineage: Eukaryota; Fungi; Basidiomycota; Agaricomycetes; Agaricales; Pleurotaceae. The record is from RNAcentral.
CCUUACUAUAAGUGUUGUCUAGAGGCUUGGUGCCAGAAGACUCGGUAAGACCAGAAACGCAAACGUUAGUCAUCUUAAUCAGGCGUAAAGGGUAUGUAGGCAGCUUUAAAGUUUUAUUUUCUCAUCUCCCUCCUCCCACCUCCCAUCUCCCACCUUCCCAUCUAUAGAUGAUUGGUGCUUUCAUCAAUGAUGGGAUGAUUGGUGCUUGGUGCUUGGUGAAUGAUGGAAGAUAGCUCUUUUUUUAAUUAAAUAGUAAAAAUAGUAAAAAUAAAAUUAAUUUAAAGCUAGAAUCAAAUAGAGGAAAAACCAAAUAAUACUUAGAGUAGGGAUGAUAUCCAUAGAUACUAAGGGGAAUA